This 253-nucleotide ribosomal RNA is filed under the name uncultured bacterium. Its description in RNAcentral is "partial 16S ribosomal RNA". It matches the Rfam family "Bacterial small subunit ribosomal RNA", at positions 524 to 776 of the family's 1533-position model. The record is from RNAcentral.
UACAGAGGUCUCAAGCGUUGUUCGGAUUCAUUGGGCGUAAAGGGCGCGUAGGCGGCGGGGUAAGUCUGGUGUGAAAUCUCGGAGCUCAACUCCGAAAUUGCACUGGAUACUGCUCUGCUAGAGGGCUGGAGAGGAGAUCGGAAUUCACGGUGUAGCAGUGAAAUGCGUAGAUAUCUGGAGGAACACCGGUGGCGAAGGCGGCAUCCUGGACCGGCAUUGACGCUGAGGCGCGAAAGCCAGGGGAGCAAACGGG